This 1054-nucleotide ribosomal RNA is filed under the name Bacillus cereus. RNAcentral's name for it is "bacterial SSU rRNA". It matches the Rfam family "Bacterial small subunit ribosomal RNA". The record is from RNAcentral. Lineage: Bacteria; Bacillati; Bacillota; Bacilli; Caryophanales; Bacillaceae.
UUAACCAAAGUAACCGUAAGAGUUGAUCUUGGCUCAGGAAGUCGUAACAGGGUAGCCGCUGGAUAGUAACGGCGGACGGGUGAGUAACACGUGGAUGACCUGCCCAUAAGACUGGGAUAACUCCGGGUAACCGGGGCUAAUACCGGAUAACAUUUUGAACCGCAUGGUUCGAAAUUGAAAGGCGGCUUCGGCUGUCACUUAUGGAUGGACCCGCGUCGCAUUAGCUAGUUGGUGAGGUAACGGCUCACCAAGGCAACGAUGCGUAGCCGACCUGAGAGGGUGAUCGGCCACACUGGGACUGAGACACGGCCCAGACUCCUACGGGAGGCAGCAGUAGGGAAUCUUCCGCAAUGGACGAAAGUCUGACGGAGCAACGCCGCGUGAGUGAUGAAGGCUUUCGGGUCGUAAAACUCUGUUGUUAGGGAAGAACAAGUGCUAGUUGAAUAAGCUGGCACCUUGACGGUACCUAACCAGAAAGCCACGGCUAACUACGUGCCAGCAGCCGCGGUAAUACGUAGGUGGCAAGCGUUAUCCGGAAUUAUUGGGCGUAAAGCGCGCGCAGGUGGUUUCUUAAGUCUGAUGUGAAAGCCCACGGCUCAACCGUGGAGGGUCAUUGGAAACUGGGAGACUUGAGUGCAGAAGAGGAAAGUGGAAUUCCAUGUGUAGCGGUGAAAUGCGUAGAAAUAUGGAGGAACACCAGUGGCGAAAGGCGACUUUUCUGGUCUGUAACUGACACUGAGGCGGCGAAAGCGUGGGGAGCAAACAGGAUUAAGAUACCCUGGGUAGUCCACGCCCGUUAAACGAUGAAUGCUAAGUGUUAAAAGGGGUUUCCCCCCCUUUAACUGCUGAAAGUUAAACGCAUUAAAGCACCUCCCGCCUGGGGGAAUAAGGGCCGCAAGGGUUGAAACCUCAAAAGGAAAUGGAACCGGGGGCCCCGGCCCAAGCCGGGGGAAGCAUGGGGGUUUAAUUUCGGAAACCACCGCGAAAAAACACUUAACCAGGGGUCUUGGACAUUCCUUCGGACCAUACCCCCUAAAAGAAAAGGGCUUUCUCC